Molecule: unclassified non-coding RNA, 195 nt
Filed under: uncultured fungus
Lineage: Eukaryota; Fungi
Description: sequence contains ITS1, 5.8S rRNA gene
Source: RNAcentral
UCGAAUGAAUGUAGAGUUGGUUGUCGCUGGCCUCUUUGCGGAAGCAUGUGCACGCCUUCUCUUUCAUCCACACACACCUGUGCACUUGUGAGACGGGAGCCUAUAUUCCUUUUGCGAGGAAGAAGGUUUCCGUCUGCCAAUACAUAAACUCAUAUCUUGUAAUCUGAAUGUAAUUGAUGUAACGCAUCUAUAAAC